Molecule: ribosomal RNA, 465 nt
Filed under: Vreelandella stevensii
Lineage: Bacteria; Pseudomonadati; Pseudomonadota; Gammaproteobacteria; Oceanospirillales; Halomonadaceae
Description: partial 16S ribosomal RNA
Rfam family: Bacterial small subunit ribosomal RNA
Source: RNAcentral
CCUACGGGAGGCAGCAGUGGGGAAUAUUGGACAAUGGGGGCAACCCUGAUCCAGCCAUGCCGCGUGUGUGAAGAAGGCCCUCGGGUUGUAAAGCACUUUCAGUGAGGAAGAACGCCUGGUGGUUAAUACCCAUCAGGAAAGACAUCACUCACAGAAGAAGCACCGGCUAACUCCGUGCCAGCAGCCGCGGUAAUACGGAGGGUGCGAGCGUUAAUCGGAAUUACUGGGCGUAAAGCGCGCGUAGGUGGCUUGAUAAGCCGGAUGUGAAAGCCCCGGGCUCAACCUGGGAACGGCAUCCGGAACUGUCAAGCUAGAGUGCAGGAGAGGAAGGUAGAAUUCCCGGUGUAGCGGUGAAAUGCGUAGAGAUCGGGAGGAAUACCAGUGGCGAAGGCGGCCUUCUGGACUGACACUGACACUGAGGUGCGAAAGCGUGGGUAGCAAACAGGAUUAGAUACCCCAGUAGUC